UACGUAGGUGGCAAGCGUUGUCCGGAAUUAUUGGGCGUAAAGCGCGCGCAGGUGGUUUCUUAAGUCUGAUGUGAAAGUCCACGGCUCAACCGUGGAGGGUCAUUGGAAACUGGGGAACUUGAGUGCAGAAGAGGAAAGUGGAAUUCCAAGUGUAGCGGUGAAAUGCGUAGAGAUUUGGAGGAACACCAGUGGCGAAGGCGACUUUCUGGUCUGUAACUGACACUGAGGCGCGAAAGCGUGGGGAGCGAACAGG
RNAcentral lists this ribosomal RNA (253 nucleotides) under uncultured bacterium. RNAcentral describes it as "partial 16S ribosomal RNA". It matches the Rfam family "Bacterial small subunit ribosomal RNA", at positions 524 to 776 of the family's 1533-position model. The record is from RNAcentral.